RNAcentral lists this ribosomal RNA (1338 nucleotides) under metagenome. RNAcentral's name for it is "bacterial LSU rRNA". It matches the Rfam family "Bacterial large subunit ribosomal RNA", at positions 1564 to 2925 of the family's 2925-position model. The record is from RNAcentral.
UGAAUACGAGAUGCUACGGCGUCGAAGCAGUCUAUGUCAUACUUCCAAGAAAAGCUCGCACUGUCAUAAACAAAUAAUGCCUGUACCAUAACCGACACAGGUGGGUAGGUAGAGUAUACUAAGGGGCGCGAGAUAACUCUCUCUAAGGAACUCGGCAAAAUGACUCCGUAACUUCGGGAGAAGGAGUGCCUUAUUUAUAAGGUUGCAAUAACAAGAUCCAAGCAACUGUUUAUCAAAAACACAGGUCUCCGCUAAGUCGUAAGACGAUGUAUGGGGGCUGACGCCUGCCCAGUGCCAGAAGGUUAAAGAAGUUGGUUAGCAUUCGCGAAGCUGAUAACUGAAGCCCUGGUGAACGGCGGCCGUAACGAUAACGGUCCUAAGGUAGCGAAAUUCCUUGUCGGGUAAGUUCCGACCCGCACGAAAGGCGUAAUGAUUUGGAUACUGUCUCGGAGAGGGGCUCGGUGAAAUAGACUUGUCUGUGAAGAUGCGGACUACCUGCACCAGGACAGAAAGACCCUAUGAAGCUUUACUGUAACUUGAGAUUGAAAUUGGACUUUACUUGCGCAGUAUAGGUGGGAGGCGUUGAUAAUAUUCUUGCGGGAUUAUUUGAGCCAUCAGUGAGAUACCACUCUUGUAAUGUUAGAUUUCUAACUUUGUAUCAUUAUCUGGUCAAAGGACAGUUUCAGGCGGGCAGUUUGACUGGGGCGGUCGCCUCCUAAACGGUAACGGAGGCGCACAAAGGUUUCCUCUGAACGGGUAGAAAUCGUAUCUAGAGUGUAAAGGCAUAAGGAAGCUUGACUGUGAGACCUACAAGUCGAGCAGGGACGAAAGUCGGUCUUAGUUAUCUGACGGUGCUGAGUGGAAAGGCCGUCACUCAACGGAUAAAAGUUACUCUAAGGAUAACAGGCUGAUCUCCCCCAAGAGUUCACAUCGACGGGGAGGUUUGGCACCUCGAUGUCGGCUCAUCGCAUCCUGGGGCGGUAGUACGUCCCAAGGGUUGGGCUGUUCGCCCAUGAAAGCGGUACGCGAGCUGGGUUCAGAACGUCGUGAGACAGUUCGGUCCAUAUCCGGUGUAGGCGUUAGAAUAUUGAGAGGAGCCUUCUUUAGUACGAGAGGACCGAGAAGGACAUACCUCUGGUGUACCAGUUAUCGUGCCAACGGUAAACGCUGGGUAGCUAUGUAUGGAGUGGAUAACCGCUGAAAGCAUCUAAGUGGGAAGCCCACCUCAAGAUAAGUAUUCUGGUGUAAGGUCACGGGAAGACGACCCGUAAAUAGGCACGAGGUGGAAGUGCAGAGAUGUAUGAAGCCGAAGUGUACUAAUAGGCCGUCGGCUUGACC